This 1002-nucleotide unclassified non-coding RNA is filed under the name Hevea brasiliensis (rubber tree). The record is from RNAcentral. Lineage: Eukaryota; Viridiplantae; Streptophyta; Magnoliopsida; Malpighiales; Euphorbiaceae.
GGCAUAUUCAGAACUCCGAACAAAUUGAUUUCUAGUUUAUUUUAUACGCUCAGUGUCUACAAAGCUUGAGGAAGAAUGUAAACCAUAGUAAGCAACUUGAAAUAGGUGGGAGUGAUGCAACUGGGGUUGAAAGCAGACUGGAUGAGACCGUUGUCGGAACCUAACGGGUGGUGGGAAACAAAGAAGCCUUGUUCAUUUCUAGGUAGGUUUGAUUAAACUUUUAUUAUCAUUUGCGGAUUAGUGCUCUAAGUCACUUUGAUGUUAAAGAAUAGUGGGUGGUAAUGAGGCUAUUUUGAAUGUUGAGUAGCUGGGUCUAAAACACUUGAAGUUCUGGUCUUCCUUUACCAAGCGCAAACACCUCAAUAGAGAGGAUAAAAGGGAACCAGCAAAAGAUAGGAAAAGUUCCUCAUUGAAAUUGACAAAAACAUAGAAAGAAUUUAAAGAAACUAGAGGAUGAAGGAAAAGGAAGAAAGAUGAAGAGGGAGCAAAGAACCAAGGAAGCUACGCGAAAAAAGAACAAGGAGAUGAGCAGGGAGGAGGAAGCGACAACUCCUCCCUAGAUCCAGAUCUGUUUUGAAAGUGUUUUUCCAGAGAGUGUGUAGAAAGAGAGAAAGAGUUUUAUAGCAAAACAGUAAAUUGAAAUGAGAGCAUAACUUCUAAUGAUUUGGAAAAAUAAAUUGAGAAGUGCAAGUUAAUAAGGACCUUUUUACGCUCAUUUUCCAACCCAAGGCAAAGCGAGAAGAUGUGAAGUACAGUACCCGUGGGAAGCAAACCUGGAGACAACAAGCACAAUACCAUCACACUUUCCCUACGAUUUUGCUAAGCAUUAAUUACUGAAUUUCUUAGCAGAUUGUUAUUGUGAACUUAGUCCAUUUUAAGGUUUAGAGAUAAAAUGCAUAAAUAAGAAAGAAAGUGCAGGACUAUUAAAGUAAACUAUACUUUUAAUAUAAAAAAAAUAAAAAAACAAAAAGAGCACAUUUUUUUUUAUAAGUAACGUUCUUG